This 2563-nucleotide long non-coding RNA is filed under the name Panax ginseng (ginseng). RNAcentral's name for it is "long non-coding RNA (PGIN_LNC008869)". The record is from RNAcentral. Lineage: Eukaryota; Viridiplantae; Streptophyta; Magnoliopsida; Apiales; Araliaceae.
GGUUUUCUUUAUAUUUAUUUUGUAGGUGUACUGAAGUUUUGUUUAUUUUUAUUUUUAUUUUAUUUUUUAAAAAGGAGAAAACCGUCCAACCACAUGUUCUUUACUUUAACGUUCUUUGUUUUAUUAUUAUAUUAUAUCAUUGGUUCAUUGAACCACGUGCUCCAUUUUUUUUAUUUUUCAAUUUUCUCCCCAAGUCCUCCUCCAAUCUCCAUGAGUCAUGGCAUGAUUUCAUUACAUAUUCACAUUCUAUUUCUUGGACUAGAGGGGGAAUUAUUUGGAGCUUUGUAGCUUCAUUUCUUUACCACAUCACCUCAUUCAAUUAAAAUAGAGAAAAUUAAUUUUUUUUUGUGAUGGUAAAAUUAUUAUUUUUUUGUUUAAAAAAAAUAGAGAAAAUUCAAAAUUUGUGUAAUUUAUUAUUGUGUUCUUCUUACUUUUUUCAAAAAUACUAAUCAAAUAAGUCACACUAAGUUUAUUAUAAUUAAUGAUUAUCAAUUAUUGUUUUUGCCAAACUAAAUUAAUAAUUAUAAUUUUAAUUAAUAGUAUAUUUUAAGUAUUGUUGGUCUAAAUAAACUCGUUCAACCCAACCAAUUCAUACCCAUAAAUUUUAUUACAAGUUGGUACUUGGACAAUCAAUGAUUCAAUCCGGGAUAACCCCUCCGCCCAAGUUACACCCUUACCUUUAGUUGGCUUUGCUAAUUUCCACCUACUUCUAAAAUGAUGGCCGAUCUUUACGUUGUCAUUAUAUUCUUAUACUCCCUAUUUGCCAAUGUGAUUCACCACUUUUAUUGCCCUAUAGUUAUGAAUUUAUCACUCUAGACUAGUUUGACUUUUCUGACCUUCAAUUAUUUUCGUAAAAAACAUGUUUUUUAGACAUUAAUUGUUAGUUAAAUUCAUUAAUACUAUCUCUAUUCUAAAAAGAAUUACUGUAAUAUAAUGACUGUUUCACUUAAUAUUGAUGACGUGUCAAUGAAAAUUUUUGAAUGACAAAUUUUAUUGAUAUCCUCAGUUCCACCAUAAAAAGAAUAGUUCAGUGCUUAUAAAAGUAGUAUAUAUAUAUAUAUAUAUAUAUAGUGGCAGAACCAGAACAAAAAUUGAGGGGGGUCAAAAAUUGAGGGCAGUUACCGGAGGUCCGGAAUGUUGCAGCGGCGAGGGAGUUAGUACUUUCUCACUUUAAUACUUCUAAUCCAUAUGUUUAGCUCCAUUUUUUUUUUACAUAUAGUAUAUGAGAGUAUGUCUAGAAUUUAUAGAACCUCCACUUCAGGCUUACUAGGCUGCCCAACACAACACUCAAAGUUGCUUUUACAUACCACUUUUUAAUUUCAUCAUUUAUCAAUUCUCUUACGAUUUAAAAAAACAGAAAUUAAACAAUAAUUUAAGAUUACUCCAACAGUAACAAUUUUAAAAAUUAAAUUACUAAAAGAUUAAAGAUGUAAACAUUAAAUUAUUAAAAUUCAUCAAAAUUCUUUCUCUUAGGAUUCUCAAAAGCCAAACAAAGAUAAAAGAAAAGAAAAAUUAAUUUAAAAUAAUUGAAAAAAUUAAAACAAGCCUAAAUUAAAGAAAAAAUUAAAUAAAAGAAACCCAUACCCAUUUCCCAAUUAACUGGAUAUGAAUAUCUAAUACAGUUUCAGAAAUAACCAAUAUCAAUGGAGAAAAAGCUAAUGGGUUUUGCAAUCCCAAAUUCCCAAUUUGCUUAUCCAAUGACAGUAGCAUAAACUCACAAGUCACAAAUCACCAUAAUCAAAUACAAGAUUACAUCAAAUUGAGAUAGAUUACUUACCUUUGUAUCCCAGUCGGACAGGAGAGUUGAAUGCAAGAAAAAGAGAGAGUGGAGGCUGGAGGCACCGACUGCCGAGACGGAAGAGUGAUAACGGAAGAGAGGUAGAGACUGNNNNNNNNNNNNNNNNNNNNNNNNNNNNNNNNNNNNNNNNNNNNNNNNNNNNNNNNNNNNNNNNNNNNNNNNNNNNNNNNNNNNNNNNNNNNNNNNNNNNUGUAUAUAUAUAUAUAUAUAGUGUACUACUACUUGGUAAGUAAAAAUUCCCACAAUGAUAUUACGGGCAAUAACACAACUGAAAUAGAUGUUAUUUAGGCUUGUAAGAUGUUUUGAGUCAAAAACUUAAUAUUAGAUGUACAUAAAACUCAAAGUGAGAUAGAUAACUAAGCCGUUGGUCUGAAUGGACUUCCAAUUAUAUAAAUACCAAAUUUAUGUUGACAAAAAUGUAAUCUAUGUAGAUAUUAUUCCCUCUUAAGUUGGCAUAGAUUGGUACAAGUUUCUGCUUAUCUAGAAAACGUAACUCAUUAGUUGAACCAAGACAUAUCUUGUCCACAAGCUAGCUGACAUAAACAUAAUCAUCAAAUCGGUAGGAAAGUUAACGGAAAUUACCAACUCUUUGGUCUCACAUAACAUAACCACUAAAUGAAGUAACCCGGACCAGGUACAUACUGAGAACCGCGAAAUGCCGACUGGCUAACCAGAAAGAUCAAAAGAAAAAUUCAAAUCGAACCCAUCCAAAACUGAUCAACUCACUUUCUUAGCCAAGGGUCGGUCAAAUACAUGUUCUACUGG